Molecule: ribosomal RNA, 319 nt
Filed under: Pelagophyceae sp. RCC5271
Lineage: Eukaryota; Pelagophyceae
Description: SSU rRNA
Rfam family: Eukaryotic small subunit ribosomal RNA (bases 114-319)
Source: RNAcentral
GGAUUCCUGGCUCGGGGUAACCGGUCCGCCUUGCAAAAGGUGCGCACUGAGUGGCCUCGGCCAUCCUUGGGAAGAGCGGUCCUGGCAUUCGGUUGUCGGGGUCGGGAUUCCCGACGUUUACUGUGAAAAAAUCAGAGUGUUCAACGCAGGCUUACGCCUUGAAUACAUUAGCAUGGAAUAAUGAGAUAGGACCUUGGCGGUCUAUUUUGUUGGUUUGCACGCCGAGGUAAUGAUUAAAAGGGACGGUUGGGGUUCUUCGUAUUCAAUUGUCAGAGGUGAAAUUCUUGGAUUUAUGGAAGACGAACUGCUGCGAAAGCGU